GACGAACGCUGGCGGCGUGCCUAACACAUGCAAGUCGAACGAGGUCCAAGGAAGCUUGCUUCCUGAAGACCUAGUGGCGAACGGGUGAGUAACACGUGAGAAACCUGCCUCGGAGUGGGGAAUGACUCGGGGAAACUCGAGCUAAUACCGCAUACCUUCACAUGAUCGCAUGGUCGAGUGAAGAAGAAUUUCGCUCUGAGAGGGUCUCGCGGCCUAUCAGCUUGUUGGUGGGUAACGGCCUACCAAGGCAACGACGGGUAGCUGGUUUGAGAGAACGAUCAGCCACACUGGGACUGAGACACGGCCCAGACUCCUACGGGAGGCAGCAGUGGGGAAUCUUGCGCAAUGGGCGAAAGCCUGACGCAGCAACGCCGCGUGCGGGAUGACGGCCCUUGUGGUGUAAACCGCUUUCAGCAGGG
This 419-nucleotide ribosomal RNA is filed under the name uncultured bacterium. Its description in RNAcentral is "bacterial SSU rRNA". It matches the Rfam family "Bacterial small subunit ribosomal RNA", at positions 28 to 444 of the family's 1533-position model. The record is from RNAcentral.